AACCCGUACAGCCCGUACACCGAUAUUUCACAGUUGGCAACACCUUUUUAUUUUGAUUUCGUGGUUGAUCCGAAUGAUCGUGGAAUUAUGAACAUCAGUGUAGGCCCUAAAGAAGAGGCAGGGAGUGAGCGUGAUGCAUAUUUGAAUGGGCUUGAGAUAAUGGAGAUUAUGGAGAAAUCGGGUACAGUUCCUGUGGAGAAUGGACAUAAGAAAAAGCAUGUCAUGGUAGUAGUUGGCUCAGUGCUUGGAGGUUUGCUUCUGAUUUGCAUAUUGGCAGUUGUACUGUUUUUUGUUUUGACAUACAGAAAGCAAAAGCCUGGUGAAUUUCCUUUGGCUUUGGAUUGGUCUCCAUUACAUGUACGUGGAGGAGGGAAUUCUCAUGGUAAGGUCCCUGAGGGAACUGGCGGCUCCCCAAUGCCUAAUGUAAACCUUGGAUUAAAAAUUCCUUUGGUAGAAAUUCAGUUUGCGACGCACAAUUUUGAUAGAAAGUUUGUGAUCGGCAAGGGAGGAUUUGGGAAUGUCUACAAAGGAACUCUCAGGAACGGCAUGAAAGUUGCUGUAAAACGAAGCGAACCAGGCUCCGGCCAAGGCCUUCCAGAAUUCCAAACUGAAAUAACAGUCUUAUCAAAAAUUCGCCACCGCCAUCUUGUUUCCUUAAUUGGAUAUUGUGAUGAACGGUAUGAGAUGAUACUAGUGUAUGAUUUCAUGGAAAAAGGGACUUUGAGGGAUCACCUAUACAAGUCAAAGUCACCCUGUUUGUCCUGGAUACAGAGGCUUGAAAUAUGCAUUGGUGCAGCAAGAGGUCUUCAUUAUCUACACGAAGGUUCAGCUGGCAGAAUCAUUCACCGUGAUGUGAAGCCCACAAACAUUUUGCUGGACAAAAAUCAUGUUGCCAAAGUUGCUGAUUUUGGCCUUUCAAGAUUGGGUACGCGUGAUGAAAACCACAUCAGCACAGCUGUUAAAGGAACGUUUGGUUAUCUUGAUCCUGAGUACUUCCGGUCACAACAAUUAACAGAAAAAUCUGAUGUUUACUCAAUUCGGUGUUGUUCUUUUCGAGGUUGUAUGUGCAAGACCAGCCAUCAAUGCCUCACUCCCAAGAGAGCAAGUGAACCUGGCUGAUUGGGCAAUGCUUUGCAAGAACAAAGGGCUUCUUGAGGAGAUCGUAGAUCCUUUGAUAAAGGUUCAGAUCAGUCCAAACUCAUUGAGGAAAUUUGCUGAGAUAGCUGAGAAAUGUUUGCGGGAAGAUGGUGAUGACAGACCAACAAUGGGCGAUGUGUUGUGGGACUUGGAGUAUGCAUUACAGCUUCAACAAACUGCAAGGACGAGAGAGCCACAUGAAGACAGUACAACCGAUGCUUCAUCUGCAUUACCAUUCCCUAAUGUCAGGCGUUUUCCUUCAUAUAGCGUGUCGAUGAACGAAGUUGAUAUGCACAUUUUGAGAGACCAGGACAAUUCAAUCUCAUCAGAAAGUAAAGUCUUCUCUCAGCUGGGAAUUGAAGAUGCCAGGUAAAGUUACCGAAUUUAGGUUUCUUUAGCCUCUGCAAUUUGUAUUUGGUAAAUAUAAUCUGGACAAGCUUGCUUUGCUUUCUCUGUUUAUUAAUUCUAAUCUAUUCUCUACGGUUUAAGGCAACUUAUAUUUUGUAUAAUUGGAAUAUAUUUCAAGACAACAACUAUGAUUUUAUUUUUAACUAUUAUAGAUGGCUAAAAAACUAUUAGGAAUUUAUUUAGGCCUUUUUUUAAUUUUGAGAUGUUAAGCAAAUAAAACUAUAAUUGUGAAAUUAAAAUUUUGACCAAAAACAUAAAGGUAUUAUAAACUUUUUCAUCAUAUAAUUGUAAUUGUAGUGUAAAAUUAACUUUCAAAUCAUUUUAAAAAGUUUUUUUUCCAAAUACAUUAGUUCUUAAGGGUGGACCCUUCACUUUUUAUCACGCCACACUAAUUCAUAAAUGUAAUUGAGUAAUAUUUGUGUGAAUGUCAGUCCGGUAAAGGAGUAAAAACAGCAUAUAUGUUAACCAAUGCAACAAAUUUGUUUUUUGUAAAAUACAUAUAUUUAAUAAAAAAUGACAAUAUUGCAACAAAUAAGCUUAUUAUAAUAUAAAUUAUUAAAACAAUGCAUUAAAAAUUCUUUAUAAAAUUCUUUUUUAUUUUAGUGAUAGAAAAUAUGAUAUAUGUUGUCAAUUGUUAAUAUAUAAUUUUGUAAUUUUUUAAUACUAGUGACACUAUUAUAAUAUAUUGACAUAGUUUUCUUAAUUUUUUUUAAUAAUAAGUUAAAGCAAUACUAACAUUACAAACAUUUUAAUCCGUAAUGAUUCUAUAUAAUUUAGUCAUUUCAUAAAGUAAGUUUCUAAAUCUAACUUUUGUGGUGUUCUUGGCCUCCUCAAACCAUAUACAUUGUUAUUUGGUUGUAUCACAUUUGACGUACCGUUAUAUAUCCCUUUUUUUGUCUUUUCCUGAUCCACCGUUAAGAUCUACCCCAAAAUUAGUUCAACGGCUAAGAUACUUUUGUUGGGUUAUUAACACUACAGUCCCUCAUGUUUGCUACAAAGUUUAAAAAGUUCAAACGUUCAAAAUUUUGAUACAUAAGUUAUUUUAAAUUUUUUACACUUAGGUGUAUUGACCGAGUUAAUUUCACCAAUAAAAUAACUCAUUCUUAUAUUUGAAAUAAUAUAUUCAAAUUAACACUCUUUCAUGUUAAAUAAUUAAUUUAACAUAUAGUAAAACCAUGUAUUAAUUAUGAAGCAUAUUUUAUGAUAAAUGUGAAUAUGAAUUUAAUCUCUUGUUCUUAAUUUGUAGCUAAUAUUUUCUUUUCAUAAUACUUAUUCAAUAUAUAGUCAAUAAUUUCAGUGUGUAGUAAAAAUAUAUUAAUUUAUCAAUUAAUAAUGUGUUUUUCAAUUGCUUAAUAAGACAGUACCAAAAGGUGACGCCAAAAAAAAAAAGCAAUUGCUCUUCAGUUAUUCUUAUAUCUAGAAGCUUGAUGAAUAAGUUUAGAAGUUUUCAAUAAGGAUUUGGUGGCAAAAGAAUUUUAUGAGUGGCACUUAUUUAGAUUUUUUUUUUUUUUACAUCUCGUGCUCGAUAACUUUGAGUUAGUGAUGGAAUUCAAUUAUUAAUUGCUAGAGAUAUGGAACUGAAACUAGUGGGCAUGUAAACAAUUUAAUCAUAUUUAUAUAUAAAUUUAAUUUAUUUAUUUAGUAAAAAAAAAAUUAAUUUUUAUCAAGGAUAUAUAUGACAUUUGGUAGAUGUACAGUGCAAAUUUUCUUUUCAAAACGUUGAUGAUUGGUGUGUGAAUUAGUAAUUAGAAAUACAGUCCAACCUUUUGAUUUAGUUCACAAAAUUAAAAUGAGUAGGCUAAUGAGUCGGAAUUUAGGACUAUCUAUGUUUUUAAUUUUAUAAUAAAAUAGGGAUUGCAGUGUAAUUAAUUAAAAAAAAUAGAGUAUGUUUUCACUGUAGUGGCAUACCUAGACCCUACAUAUAUUUAUAUUUACACUGCAGCCAGUGUCAAUAUAAAAUCAGCAUACAAUUCUUAACCUGUUUUUGGAUUCAGGUGAUAUUUAUGACUUUUUAAUUCACUAGUUGCUGUGAAAUAGAGAUUAAGUGGUAAAUGAUUCAUUGGGCCUUCUUCGUGUGCUAAUUUUUUGACUUUCUGUGGCGUAUAUGAAUUUUGGAAAAAUUUUAGAAUAUAUUUAUUGUACUAUGUCAUGAUAUUAUUUAUUGAUUUUAUGAGUUAUUGAUUUGUCACUCAUACAACAAAUAAAUAAUGUCAUACAACUAUCAUACAACUAUAUAAGUAGUGGUUGUAUAAAUUCAAUUAUACAUAUUAUACAUGUAUUAAAUAAUUAUAUACAAUAGAUGUAUUAUAAAAUUUCCCUGCAUCUUGAGUUGACUCUUAAUGGAACCGAUUAUCAAAUCAUUGACGACUUUUCCAAGUCCACGGGGUCCCGCAAGCAAGAAUUGAGGUUGACCCGACGACCAAGUGCAUUCAAUCAAUUACUAGAUAUUUAAUUAUUUAUCACUCACUGCGUUGAUGCAUGCACAAAAAAUAAUAUAAAAGUAAUGUAUUUAUCAGAAGAUAAAAAAAUUUAUUAUAAAAUAAAAAGUACUUUACUAUAAAAUAAAGCCACCCAUCAUAAAUGCUUGAAAGUGAUAGGAUAUAAAUUUUUUAAAGAAUUUUUUAAUAAUUAAAAACUCAUUAUCGAUUUGUAAUAAUUAGAAAUUUUUAAAAUUCAAUCUGAUCAACACAAUUCGUCUUAUUCGUAGAAAUACAAUGCACAAAAUUUUUAUUUAUAGAUUUUUUAAUUAGAUUGGAUUUAAAAUUGAAAAAUCCAGAGUUUGUGGAUUAGAUGUGGAUUUACUUUUAUAAAUUAUUAGAAAGCCAUGAAUCCAUAAAAUAUAUAUAUAUAUAUAUCAUUUAAUUAAAAAUAAAACUUGUAAAUAUAGAAUUAAUGCUUUCUAAGAAUUAACUAAAUUAAAAUAUAGAUACAUUAAUACUAAUAAUUAUAUCUUAUCCGAUAAUAAUAUAAAAUAAAAACAAUUAAAUGAACCAAUAUUAUUUCUCAAACAGUUAAUUUUUAUAAUUUUAAUUAAUUUUCAUUUAUCGAAACAAAUAAUAUUUUUUUUCUUUUCGGUGUGUUAUAUUUUGAAUGUAUUUUUUAGUUUUAUUUAAAAAAUUAAUUCAUUUAAUCUUAUUCAAUUUUGAAUUUGAUCGGUAAUAAAAUAAUUUUUAUAUUAAAUUUUUUUUAUUUAAUUAGUUUAUGAAUUAGAAAGAAUUAGUCCGUAAAUCAAUCUAUAAAAUAGUGGAUUUGAUAUGAAUUGAGUCAAGAGUUAAAUUUGCAUCUGAUCCGCAGACAUAUGGAUUAGAAUUAAAUUGAAUUUUACUAAUUUAUAGAUGAGAUUGGAUUGAAAAUUUAUAAUCCAUAAAAUCAUGAAUCGGAUAUAAAUUGAUGUUCAAUCUACAAAAUCUUAUUCGAAAACAACACUAGAAAUAAUCAUUUGAUCGAUCUCAACGGAUCGCUCUGCGAUCUUCAAUAUUUUUGUGGCCUCAUGGUGUGUUUGAUAUUAUUUGAUAUUUUCCGUAUUACAAAAAUGAAAAUCAAGAAAAUAUAUUUGGGCGGCCUGUAAAUUAGCGUUUUCCACUUCUAAAGCACCGCAGAGAAUAGUUUGAAGAAAAAUGGGGUUUGUCGGUUGGUUGUCUCCCAGCAAGGCCCACAAACAACCUUUUUCUACAUUCUUUUUAGCAAUUCUCUUGGUACAACAAUCCUUUAUUAGAAAAUUUUGAAAAUUUUUCUACUAUUUUUUUUUUUGAAAAGGAUAAACACACCCCCAACAUUUCCAACAUUUAGGUAAAGAGAUAAAAAUCUCUCUUAGAUUUCAAAAAAGAUAUUUACACCCCAAUUUAUUAUAGUUUUACCAUUAUACCAUUCUAGCAUAUAAAAAAAAUAAUUAAAUUAUCCAAUUUGUCUAUAUAUUAUUAAUAAAAUUAUAAAUAUACCCUCAUUGCAUCAUUCUUCUAUUUAAAUUUUUAUCAAUAAUCAAUUUUCAAAAAAGACACCUACACACUUAAAAAAAUUUGUAAAUAAAUUAUAAUUUUAAAAAUAAAAUUGGUUAUUAAUACCAUAAUAAAUAACAUAGAAAAUUAGUUAUAAAUAUACAAGUUUAAAUAAUUGACAUGUUAUUUAUUAUGGUAUUAAUAACCAAUUUUAUUUUUAAAAUUAUAAUUUAUUUACAAUUUUUUUAGGUGUAUAGAUUUUUUUUUAAAUUGGUUAUUGAUAAAAAUUUAAAUAGAGGAAUUGAGCAAUAAAGGUAUAUUUAUAAUUUUUUUUAUAAUAUCCAACUUGUUUAUUUAUAAUUUUAUUAACAAUAUAUAGAUAAAUUGGACAAUCUAAUAAAUUUUUUUAUAUGCUAGAAGGGUAUAAUGGUAAAAUUAUAAUAAAAUGGGGUGUAAAUGUCUUUUUUAAAACGUUAGGGGAUUUUUGUCCCUUUGCCUAAACGUUGGGGGUGUGUUUGUCCUUUUCCCUUUUUUUCCCCUCUCUAUCAAAUUUGUACGUAAGUAUCUUGUUUAAUUUUAUUUGUAAAUUGUUUGUUUUCACAAACCCAGUUCCAUGUGCAUGCGAUUUUUAGUUUGUACAUGUUAUUUCCUUUUUUUAGAUUGGUUUUUGAACAUUAUCAUAAAGCAUUAGUUAUAGAAAUUUUAAAUUUUUUUAUGGAAAUAACUAAAUGCUAUUCUUUUUAACACUUGCCCAGUUACUUUUUCUUAAAUUAACUCCAGUUUUUAUUAAAAAGAUUGAGGAAACAAAAAGAGAGAAAAAAAUCGCUGAUCCUCGUCUAUUCUUUUUUUUUUUUUAAUUUUUUUAUCGGUGAUCCUUCUAAAUCUUGCCUGCAUUAAUUAGUUUGAACCUUUGUAUCUUCGACUCUUUGUGCAGCAACAUGUUACGAAUCUUCCCUAUACUUUCAAAAUCCAUGUGCAUAAUCAGCACAUGAUGUUUGCGACUCUUCCCUGCUGGCCUAAAGUCGACCUUGGCAUUUUCCUAAACAUAUUCAUUUGAUCCUCGAUCUCAAUGGAUCAUUUGCAAUCUUCAUUAUGUUUGUCGAUCACUCUGGCAGCAGUGGGAAUCUUGGGCUUGAUUUUCUACUGUGUGAGGAGAAAACCCAGAAGCAAAGGUAAAAGUUUCUCAAUUAAUUGCACGAUUGUGAGAGUUGAAUAAAUGUACACAUCUUAACUAUAAUCCAGGAAACUAAUUUAAAAAGGAUAGAGAUUCCUAAUGUGCAUUAGAUCCUUCCAAAAAAAAAAAAACACAUCAGGCCCAUUUGAAAUGGUUAUGCUUCAAUAUUUUUCUUUUAUAGAAUGCAGUUAUGCAUCAACUUAAUUUUCAAAUCUCAUAGUUUAUAGAGCAUCACUUACUUACAAUAAAAAUAUGCUGGAAUCAAAAUGAACUUUAAUCGUAAUGAGCUGGAAUUAUAGUAGAGAAUAAAAAUUAAAAUAAGUUGAUUAUAUGACCUACAAAAAUAAUAAUCAGAAUUAAUAAUAUUCUCAUUAAUGUCUUUACUUUGUCUUAUAAUUAAAGUAGAUUAUUAAAAAGUUAUAAAAAUGCCAUUAGUUAAAAUUAUCUAUUUUUUAAUAACAAAAUAAAUAAAUAAACUUCUUAAAAGAAAGUCUAUGCAUGUUUAUUACAAUAAUAAUAAUAAUUCUGAUUUUAGUUCCUAGUAGAAUUAAAAAGUUUUAAGAGGUUAUAUAUUAUAAUUAUGCUCUGCCUACUCAUUACCAUUUUAGUAUUUUAAAUAGAAACAAUUUAAAAGUAGUCCUCUGUCUUUCAACCAGAGGAAACAAAAAAAAAAAAAAAGGAAAGAAAAAGAAAACAAGUACGCUUUUAUGGUCCAUUUGUAAUGGAAAUGCUUCAACCUUUUUUGACUUUUGAAACGCGGGUUCUAAAACAUUUCUUGCUUCAUUAAAAGAGUAGAACAAAUAAGAUGGACCCAAAUUCCCAAAACAGACAAUAAAAGGUGCUUACCAGAGUCCAGUAAGUGUCCAUAAUUUGUCAACAUACGAGUCAAAAACUGGUAAUGCAUGUAUAUAUAUAAUUUUUAGUGACCGUGCUAAUUUUAGCUAAAUAUUUCACCUUCGCGUGUAUCACGCGUAAACUCUAGUAACUGAGACCUGGGUAAGUUCUGAAGAAUAUACAAAUCCCAUGAAUAAUUCUGCUUGACACUGAUUGGGUAUAGUUAAAGUUUUUUUUUUAAUAUGUUUCACAAUUAUCUUACUGCCAAGUUUAUUCUUAAAAUUGUUCUUCUUCCUAUUAAACACUCAUUAUUGAUUUGGAAUAAUCAAUUGAUCGAUCUCAAUGGAUCGCUUUGCAGUCUUCAUUAGUUUUGUUGCCUCGGUAUCUGCUGUCUUCUUGAUGUUAGCAUUGACGUUUGGUUUAUCUAGUAAAUAUUUCUUUUAUAGUCCACUAGCAAUUUCUUUCUUAAUCUUGUCGAUCACUCUGGCAGCAGUGGCCAUUUUGGGCUUGAUUUUCUAUGGUGUGAGGAGAAAGCCCAGAAGCAGAGGUAAAAGUUUCUCAUUUAAUUGCACGAUUUUGAGAGUUGAAUAUACGUACACAUAGGUACGUAUCUUAAUUAAAGCUUUAAUUUCUUCACCAUUCAGGCGAGAAUUUGAUGAUGUUUGAUUUGGAUUUGAACCUGAAAGCCGAUCCCGCAAACAAUAAACGGACAAAAGGAAGCAAAAAGAAGGAAGUUGAUCAAUUGCCCUUAUUCAGUUUUUCCAGUGUUUCUACUGCAACAAAUAAAUUCUCCGACGCAAAUAGGCUCGGAGAGGGUGGUUUUGGACCUGUUUAUACGGUAAUAAAGACAUCAAUUCCUUUGGAGCAGUAAUUUCCUUGUUAACAGAAAUAUAAGUGUACCAUUUUCAGGGAGUGUUAAAAAACGGAGAUGAGAUAGCAGUGAAAAUGCUUUCAGGAAGGUCUGGACAAGGAUUGCGAGAGGUAAAAAAUGAAGCUUCAGUGAUAGCCAAGGUUCAGCACAAGAAUCUUGUUAGACUUUUGGGCUGCUGCAUUGAUAGAGAUGAGAAGAUUCCGAUCUAUGAAUACAUGCCAGUGAUAAGUUAAGUGCAUGACUAGCCAUCACCGAUAAGUUUAAGUUGUCUCAAUAAAAAUUAAGCAACCACCUUAUAUUUAAAAGAGCAUUUGAAAACUAAUAAAUUUACUAUUGAAUUACUUUUUAAUCAAAAUAAAUUAUAAAUUAUCAUUACAGCAACAUCCACAAACCCAAAUAUCUAAAAAAUAAUAAUUCUCAAAAAACAUAAAGCUAAAAAACUUUUGAAAAUUUCUUUAAAAAACUAAUAAAUAACUAACUUCCUUUUGUAAUAUUCCUUGUUUAUCUUUUUAUAACUUUGUUGGGCUACAUUUAGAAAUUUAAAAAAUUAAAUUGACUCCCUUGCAUUUCAAGGGUGAUAUUGGUAUUUUAUAGGUAAACUAACAUAUUUUAUGUAUAAGCAAACUAACAUGUCAAUUAAUACUAAAAACAUAAGGAUCUCCCUGUAACUUAGGGUUUGCCGAAACAUAAAUGUAGUGAAAAAGUAAAGUUUUAUAAUGAUAAAAUAAUAAAGUGUUACAACCUAAUGCUUCUUACAUAUUUUUUAUUUUGAAAUUUCAUCUUUUUUAAUUUUACAAUUUUCUGAAGUACUAAAAGGUUAAUAACCCAUAUUUUAUUUAUUUAUUCUAUAUUAAAUAUAUAUUAAAUAGAAAAAUAUUGUUUACAUUUAUAAAUUUUCGUGUGUUUAAAAAAGUUUAUGUGAUAUUACAUUGGUGUCCUUAUACCGUCACUCAUUUUUAUGAUUAAACUAAGUCAACAGAUCAAAUUUUAAAAAUUUAAAACAACAUGAGUUAUAUAAAUAAAUAUUUAAAAAAAAUUAGCCUUUAUUAUAAUGUAAUAAACUGUAGGGGCUGCAUUUUUAAUAACUAAUUGAAUAUAUCUAAGUCCUUCCAUAAUUAAGCUAUUAGAUCUAUUGAUUGAAUCAGAAAAGGGUAACGUUUGGGGUACCUUGCAGCUGUUGCAAGGUAGCUGGACCCUAUUUAUAAUACAGCGCUGCUAUUUACCCGAGUUAAACCCCGAAAAUCCCCAAAACGAUGUUGUUUUCGCUGUGAUCUGUUGCCUUUUAAUUUCCAAAUGAACCGUUUUGAUUCAACUCUCACGCGAGUUCUCCAGCCACAAUUGCCAUCACCCACAAAAUCUUCUCCAGCCACAAUUGCGAUCGCUCACAGACAACAGACCACAGCCAUCACGCGAGCCACAGACGACGGACCACAGCCAAUCAGCCAUCACGCGAGGUCUCCGUUGCCAUCACUGACAAUCACACGACAGCCGACACUCACAAAGCUAACACGAACGACACUCACAACGCUGGAAUUGUAUCACACACACAAAUCAACAACAACGCUGCUGGAAUUGUAUCAAUAAUUCCAGCAGCAACAAUUCCAGCAGCAAAAAAAGUAUCACACACACACAAACACAAAUCUCAAUCAACCAAAUUAUCACACACACACACAAAUCAGCAACAAUUCCAGCAGCAAAAAAAGUAUCACACACACACACAAACACAAAUCCCAAUAAGCUUUGUGAGUGUUGGUUGUCGUGUGACUGUCGGUGAUGGCAACGGCGACCUCGAUCGCGUGAUGGCUGUGGUUGGUCCUCUUUGGCUCCCGUGAUGGCUAUGAGAACUUGAGGAAUGCUUCAUGAAAACGGUUCGUUUUGGAGCUUCAUUCAGGGUGUUUUCAAUUUAGCUAAGUCUUUCCAAACGAAAGGAAAAAAAUUUCCAAACGGUGAGUUUUCUAUUUAAGUAAAACGGUGAGUUUCAUUCGGGGUGCAAGUUGGGGUAAAUAACUUUUUCCUUUAUAAUAUGGUUGGAAUGGAAAGAAAUUAAAACUAGGUGCCACGCAGUGAAACCAUUCGGACUCAGCAUUGAAACAUUUUCAGGUGGUUUAGCUUCUAGAAUAUCGAAUAGGCCUGGGCUUUACAUCGUCGGCCCAGAUGGGGAAUCAGGAAGCCAUUAGGCUUUUAAGGCCUACGUUCCUCUGGAUUAUUACUGGCUCCUAGCUUCUUACUGGGUCAAAAUGUCUGUGCGGGCUAGUUUCAUAGCCAUUUAAAAGCAAAACACGACCCCCAACCACCAGGUCAACGUUUCCGGACUUGGAGAAUUUUCAUCUCCUUCAGCUUGUUAUAUGAAAAAUAUUAAAAUCUGAAAGAGACACGACAUAAACAAAUAAAUAAAAGAAAUUUUGCUAACAAAUAUCCACAUCCUCCUCUUGAUUUCCGUGAUCAGAUAGUGUCAAUCACUAGUGCUGAGGAGACUUUUCAUUCUGCCUGAUAUGUUACAACUUGACUUCCUUUCUUCUUGUAAACAGAAGCUUCAAGUCAACCAAAGCCUUUCAUAGAGUUCAAAAAUCGUCUUUUGCUUUCGUUGAUGCCACGAAAGUCUCUUUCACCCUUGUUAAAAUAAUCUCGCCUCACUGUGCAGUAUCAGUUUAACCUGUAUAUGAUAUUUUCCAAGUACCAGGUUUUCGAAGCCUUCACAGGAUCAGCAUUCGAGGCCUUCAGGAAUCGGAUAUAGGAUGAAAAAUAUAUAGCAUGCCAAUAUGCCAUGGAUUCAGCAUAUAGACAAAGUCUGCUGCCUUAACCCAUUAGUAGACUGCAAGGAGUGCCAUUAUUGUAGAAUUCCUACCAUUGUGGGGCCUUCUGCUUCACCCACCAAAUGCAAGAGGACAUACAAUUCGUUUAGCCAGUUUCUGAAUUUUCCACGGGUCCACAUUUAUUUUGGCUUAUAUAAUUGGCCUGUAUAUAGUCAGCUAAGUCAAAAUCAAGGGGCAAGAGCAUCUUCUAAUGGUGGGCACCAAUUUCUCUCGUGUCAUAUUUUUUGUUUUCCUUCAUAAAAUUAUGUGAUAACUAUAUUUUCUUUCCCGGAUUUUCAUGUUUGAUUUUUCAACUAUGUUGACUCGAGUCUUCUCUGCCAAAAUGGAUAUCAUAUAAGCAUCUUUCAACCACAAAGUCUUCAAAGUUCACAGAGAUUAGCUUUCCUCCACCUGAAUUCAUGGCAAAGAUUCAAACCAAGAAAGUCCUCAAAUCUUCAUCCCCUCUCAUUUUUCUCCUCCAUCUCUUGUCAGUUGGACUUACUUGUGCAGCAUAUAGUCUUCCAGACAAGUAUUUCAUCAACUGUGGUUCAGACACCGACAUGAAUUCUGGCAAUCGGAUAUUCAGAGGGGACCUGAAUUCAGAUUCCAUCUCUUUUUCAAAGCAGAGCCAUCCUGUUAAAAACGGCAGCCAGUUACCAGAUACAUUAGCUCUCUAUCAAACAGCAAGAGUUUUCAAUCAAUUAUCUUACUACGAAUUCGAUAUCAGAAGUGACGGCACUCAUCUAGUACGCCUUCAUUUCUUUGCUUUCUCCUUUGCGAUCAAUCUCUAUAGAGCUGUUUUCAACGUUUCCACUUCCCAUCCCUUUGUGCUGUUGCAUAAUUUUAAUGUCCAAAAGAGUAGCCAGUCUCCGGUAAUAAAGGACUUCUUUCUUAGCAUCAAUCAAGGCAAAUUCUGUGUCUACUUUAGGCCCCAAGAAUCAUCUUUCGCGUUUGUUAGUGCCAUUGAAGUCUUCCCUGUAGACCCUUUACCUCUAAGUUUCAUUCCUGAUGAGGCUUCACAUGUUGGUCCUAUAGGAAUUAAGACUAAUGAUUACCGGGGAAUUCACUCAAAGGCUCUACAGACAAUUUUUAGGAUCAAUGUUGGUGGCCAUAUGAUUUCGCAAGAGAAUGACACUCUAGGGAGGAACUGGAUUCCUGAUGAUAGUUAUCUCUACAAUCCAGAUACAGCAAAACCUUUUGAGUCUACAGCUAAUCUUAACUAUGGCUAUCGGGGAAUAGUUAGUGAAUACACUGCUCCGGAUUCUGUUUACCAGACUGCAAAGCAGAUGAAUAUAACUAACAGUAGGCUUUCUAAUAACUUCAACAUAACAUGGUGUUUUAACGUGAGUAAGAAUGCUAGGCACUUUGUUCGGGUUCAUUUCUGUGACAUUGUUAGCCCAUCUCCGAAUGUUUUCAAAUUUUUUCUCUAUAUCGAUGGCACCUAUUCGCAAGAAAUCAACCCGUACACAGCAGAUAUUUACCAGACUGCAACACCUUUUUAUUUUGAUUUCGAGGUUGAUUCGAAUGAUCGUGGAAUUAUGAACAUCAGUGUAGGCCCUAAAGCAGAAGCAGGGAGUAAGCCUGAUGCAUAUUUGAAUGGGCUUGAGAUAAUGGAGAUUAUGGAGAAAUCGGGUACAGUUCCUGUGGUGAAUGGACAUAAGAACAAGCAUGUCAUGGUUGUAGUUGGCUCAGUGCUUGGAGGUUUGCUUCUGAUUUGCAUAUUGGCAGUUGUAUUGUUUUUUGUUUUGAGAUACAGAAAGCAAAAGCCUGAUGAAUUUCCUUUGGCUUUGGAGUUGUCUCCAUUACAUGUGUGUAAAGGAGGGAGUUCUCAUGGUAAGGUGCCUGAGGGAACUGGCGGCUCCCCAAUGCCUAAUGUAGACCUUGGAUUAAAAAUUCCUUUUGUAGAAAUUCAGUUUGCGACGCACAAUUUUGAUAGAAAGUUAGUGAUCGGCAAGGGAGG
RNAcentral lists this long non-coding RNA (13111 nucleotides) under Citrus x clementina. RNAcentral's name for it is "Citrus clementina (C. clementina) long non-coding RNA (CCLE_LNC001486)". The record is from RNAcentral. Lineage: Eukaryota; Viridiplantae; Streptophyta; Magnoliopsida; Sapindales; Rutaceae.